This 474-nucleotide long non-coding RNA is filed under the name Homo sapiens (human). RNAcentral's name for it is "non-protein coding LINC00964:19". Lineage: Eukaryota; Metazoa; Chordata; Mammalia; Primates; Hominidae. The record is from RNAcentral.
CAGAGCACUGCGUGUUUUGAAAUAUACAAAUAGUGGGAAACGAAAUCUUUGUUCUGGAUGCAGUUAUAAUUUGGAAAGCGAGGAAAUAAAUUAUAACAAGGGGAAAAAACAGAAUACUACUAAAGUCAUGCCGUGUGACUUCUGAAGCUAGCUCCUAAGAAGUCCUUGCAGCUUCUGCCUGCGACUCUUAGAACACUUGCUUUGAAGGAUGCCAGAUGCUGUCUUAAAAGUCUGAGCACUCUGAAACCAUCAUGCUGUGAGGAAGCCCAAGCUAACCACAUGGGCAAAAAAGAUGCCCUCUGACUGCCACCAUUUGAGACACUCUAAUUAAGAACUGCCUCAUUGAGCCCAUGAGGCCCUGUGAAUGAUAAUAAUAAAUUGUUUUUAACCACUAUGUUUUUGGAUUUGUUAUAAGUUUAUAGAUAACAAGAAAAAGUUAUAUUAGCAUGGUAAUAAAAUUAUGGAUAUGUGUAA